RNAcentral lists this ribosomal RNA (225 nucleotides) under uncultured bacterium. RNAcentral describes it as "partial 16S ribosomal RNA". It matches the Rfam family "Bacterial small subunit ribosomal RNA", at positions 104 to 334 of the family's 1533-position model. The record is from RNAcentral.
CGGGGUGAGUAAUGCUUGGGAAUCUGGCUUAUGGAGGGGAUAACUACGGGAAACUGUAGCUAAUACCGCGUAGUGUGAGAGACGAAAGUGCGGGACCGAAAGGCCGCAUGCCAUGAGAUGAGCCCAAGUGGGAUUAGGUAGUUGGUGGGUAAGGCCUACCAAGCCUGCGAUCUCUAGCUGGUCUGAGAGGAUGGCCAGCCACACUGGAACUGAGACACGGUCCAG